GGGCCUGAUGGGAGAGGCCGAGGGACUCGGCGAGGUUGAACGCCUCGCUGACGGCGAUCAUCGAGACGCCGAGGAUCAUGUUGUUGCAGAUCUUC
This 95-nucleotide transfer RNA is filed under the name Xanthobacter flavus. RNAcentral's name for it is "tRNA-Phe". Lineage: Bacteria; Pseudomonadati; Pseudomonadota; Alphaproteobacteria; Hyphomicrobiales; Xanthobacteraceae. The record is from RNAcentral.